This 344-nucleotide ribosomal RNA is filed under the name uncultured bacterium. RNAcentral's name for it is "partial 16S ribosomal RNA". It matches the Rfam family "Bacterial small subunit ribosomal RNA", at positions 338 to 697 of the family's 1533-position model. The record is from RNAcentral.
CCUACGGGAGGCAGCAGUGGGGAAUAUUGGGCAAUGGACGCAAGUCUGACCCAGCAACGCCGCGGGAAGGAAGAAGGCUUUCGGGUUGUAAACUUCUGUUAAGGGGGAAGAGCAGAAGACGGUACCCCUUGAAUAAGCCACGGCUAACGACGUGCCAGCAGCCGCGGUAAUACGUAGGUGGCAAGCGUUGUCCGGAUUUACUGGGUGGAAAGGGCGUGCAGCCGGCGAUAAAAGUCAGAUGUGAAAUCCACGGGCUCAACCCGUGAACUGCAUUUGAAACUGUUUCCCUUGAGUGUCGGAGAGGUCAUCGGACUUCCUUGUGUAGCGGUGACAUGCGUAGAUAU